GGACUACCGGGGUAUCUAAUCCUGUUCGCUCCCCACGCUUUCGCUCCUCAGCGUCAGUUACUGCCCAGAGACCCGCCUUCGCCACCGGUGUUCCUCCUGAUAUCUGCGCAUUCCACCGCUACACCAGGAAUUCCAGUCUCCCCUGCAGUACUCCAGUCUGCCCGUAUCGCCCGCACGCCAGAGGUUAAGCCCCUGGUUUUCACGAACAACGCGACAAACCACCUACGAGCUCUUUACGCCCAGUAAUUCCGGACAACGCUCGCACCCUACGUAUUACCGCGGCUGCUGGCAC
RNAcentral lists this ribosomal RNA (292 nucleotides) under uncultured bacterium. RNAcentral's name for it is "partial 16S ribosomal RNA". The record is from RNAcentral.